AAAUUGUCACUGACAGAUAUGUGAAGUUCUUAUGGAAUUCCAGGUCUUCGAGGAAUUUCAACGGAAUUGCACGCUCAAAAGAUUAACCCAAACUGUGCUGCUACGAAUCGGUUAUUAGAUCGGAAAACUUCGGCUCGGUUUAACACAAUACGGCCAUCGAUGGUUGAUACGAAGGACGAAACAACCGAUAUUUGGGAUCACCGCUCGAAGUAUCAGUAAUCGAUCAAAAAGUUUGUACUUUUGUACUGUUUGUAAGCAAAGGUUGUUCCAAAGUUAUAUGAUCAUAAAUUAUCUAUUUUAAAAAAUCUAAUCUGCAAUAUACAAAUCAAUAU
Long non-coding RNA from Dendroctonus ponderosae (mountain pine beetle), 332 nucleotides. RefSeq lists it as uncharacterized. The record is from RefSeq and is a predicted model, not a curated record. Lineage: Eukaryota; Metazoa; Arthropoda; Insecta; Coleoptera; Curculionidae. The transcript has 2 exons.